UUUUUUUUUUAAUCCCUUUGCUCGCAUCAAUCCAUUAAUGAAUGUCUUUUUCACUUGCUCCGAAGGCUUUGAAAAUGUCUCCUUUUAGCCGUCUGGUCAAUUACAGUAAACUGAUCUCAUGCUGACUCAUUUUGUUAUCAAGAUUUGUGUGCACAUGUGGUGUUUUUAACUUUUGAGUAGUUAGAUUUGCUUUAUGAUGUUUUACUUUUAUUCUUUAUGUUUCUCAAAAAAAAAAUUUAUUUGCUUUAUGAUGCUGCCUACUGUAAAGUGAGCCAAGUAAGAGAAAGUUUUGCAUAUUGAAGUCAUCUUGUUAAACUGGUAAGGUAGCUUAAUAAUUGUAAUCGACUUUACUUCUUUUCCAUUUCAAAUCAACUGAUAAUUUUUAUAUAGAUAAUUAUUUAUGAAUAAUUAUUUGUUUAAACUCAAAGUAAUAGUUUUGGCUCCCUAGAGGGAUGUUGUUAUAAUUCUGAACUUGAAAUUGCUAGUAGGAGUUGACCUGCCUUUAUUGAGAAGCAUAUCAUUGCUGAUAGGCUAGCUGUCAUAACUUGAACUGUAUUCUAUCUCUCCAUAUAACUUCCCCCCUCCAGUUACCCUAAAUUUACUAGGACAAACAAUUCUUUCUUAUUUUUACAAAAUCAUUGAGGUAACCAGGCUAUUCAUACUGAUGGUCUCAUAACUAUUUAUGUAGAGUAUUUAUCAAAAAGUAUCUUCAUAGUUAGAAUAUUCUCCCAAUAUUGGUAUUGUAUAAAAGACAAAAGUCAAUCCUUCUAGAAUAUUCAAAAGUAUACAAAAUUAUCUCAUUCACAAGCUUUUAGUGCAUAGUAAAAUUAUCUUAAGUUAGUUUUAUUAGUAUUAUAUGAUUAAAAGUUGCCUCAAGUCCCCUUUGAAACAUGAGUGAGUCAUCCAUCUAGAAUUGGUGCUUAAUAAAUCAGGCAAAGGAACAAAGUAGCCUCUUCAAAGAUUUCAAUCUGUUAUGCAGGGUCAGCAAUUCUGGUGCUUGUCUGGAGUUUUCAAAACAUGGCUGUAACUGUAAGUGUUGCCUUAAGGCUGUUCGCUUGCUCGAUAUGGAGAUCAAAAUGGACUGUGGGUGAGAAACGAGCAACACUGGUCAAAAUGAACCGGUACUAGGAUUGGAAUAAGGGAGCCAUGUUUACAACAUCAGUGAUUUAUGCAUGGUGACAAAGGAAGUUGCGAUCACAACAAGGCAAGGUCUGGGAGGCAGUAAGCCAAAGCAAAAUUGCGAUCGUGAGCCCGGUUGUGUGAUCACCACUUUAUGGGGUUGCUGAGGUAUUGAGCUCAGCUUCAUAAUCGCGUACACGGGCCCAAGGACCGCAAUCAUGGCUUUCUUCCUGGGCACUUAAAUCAUCAAUGUUGUGAUUGCUUCACAAGGCCUGCAGCUUCUUCAAAGGGAUGAUGUGAGGGGGACAGAUGAGAAGGGCCUAAGCCUAUUUAGUCCCAUCUCCUUGAGUUUCACUUGGAAUGCUAAGCGCCUCUCUAGUGACAAAAAUGGAUCGACAAACCCACUUCUUAAAUGUUCUGAAUCGGAGAAGGUAUUAUUUUUUACGGAAAGAUUUUCGGGCAGAACUUGGGCUAGAUUUUGGUUAUGCAGUGGUAAGCUGAUUCGUUUCUGGAAUGAUUUUUGGCCGUGUCACUCUUCUGAGAAAUGCAUGACAUUAUAUCAAAUCACAAGGUUCUGAUGAUCACAAAGUGAUUAAUACGGUCUAUAUAAAGGGCAAAAAAUGAUUUAUUCCCCUAUUCAACUACUC
Long non-coding RNA from Lycium barbarum (goji berry), 1766 nucleotides. RefSeq lists it as uncharacterized. Lineage: Eukaryota; Viridiplantae; Streptophyta; Magnoliopsida; Solanales; Solanaceae. The record is from RefSeq and is a predicted model, not a curated record. The transcript has 3 exons.